CUAUAUUUUUUAAAAAUGUUAUUCCUCAUUGUUUAUCAGUCUUAGUCAUUUUUAUUCUGAAUAUUUGUAUCAAUUCUUUCUGCCAAAUGAAUGAAGUCCAUCUUCCCCUCAGCUCAGAUUUAAAAUAAAAAUUAUGAUUAUGGGUAAAAUAUCCAACUGCAUGUCCUAAUGCGUUUUAAACCAGUACAGGUAAUGAUUUUAGCUUGAAGUUUCCGCAAUUUAGUCUUUGUGGAGAACUGUAAAAUGCGAGUUUGAAGGAGGUCCGUGAAUGCGUCACCAAAAACGCAGCUGAACUGAAAAAAGCAGCGAGCAGUUCAGCAGUUUGAACUUGUACCUCUGAAAUGUGGACAAAGAUGGAAAACAAAAGCUCGGCUACCGUCCGGCAAACUUUCAUCUCAAAGAUGGUUGACCCAAAUCUGAGAGAAGAGCUUCUAAAUUUAAAAGUUUCCAGCGCAGCCGCCACUCAUCCGUCCAACACAGAGGAUUCUUUAACAAGGACCAACGGGAUCAUACCUGGUGAGCAGCUUUUCUGUUUCACAGUCGACUUUGUGUCAGCAGUUUAAAAGAACAGUUUAUCAGACAAACCCUCUGAAAUAUAUCAUUUUAAUUAUAAAUACUCUAUUUACUAAGCAAACUUAGCACAAAAAGAAUGGAAAUUUGUGUUUGGUUUAUUAUUUUGUUGUUCUAAAAUAUCCCUAAACUAAUGGAAAGUUUAUUCAUUUAGUCUUUAAGCAUCCUGUCAAACAAAAUCCUGUAAUAAAUGAGCAAAUGUAAAUGCUGGGAGGUGGUUUAUUUCUGUGAAGAAAUGUGAUGCGUUUGUGUUGAUGAAAAUAUUGCUGUAGUUUUAGGUGGAAAGAGUAAUACAAAGUUAAAGCCUGAGUUGUGAAAAAA
This is a long non-coding RNA of Poecilia latipinna (sailfin molly), 891 nucleotides long. RefSeq lists it as uncharacterized. The transcript has 3 exons. The record is from RefSeq and is a predicted model, not a curated record. Lineage: Eukaryota; Metazoa; Chordata; Actinopteri; Cyprinodontiformes; Poeciliidae.